Molecule: long non-coding RNA, 333 nt
Organism: Talpa occidentalis (Iberian mole)
Lineage: Eukaryota; Metazoa; Chordata; Mammalia; Eulipotyphla; Talpidae
Exons: 3
Source: RefSeq, a predicted model, not a curated record
CCCCGCUCCAGCCCUGCCUCCAGCCUUUCCCAGGAUGAGAAAACCAAGACCAGAGGGCAGCAGAACUCGCCCACGGUUGGGCAGCUGGUAAACGGCAGAGUGUGUGCGAACACACAGAAGUGUGGCAAUUCCUAACUGCCCUUCAGUCUAGCACCUCCCAAAAGGAUGUGUUACACAACUCCGGGGACAUUAGUCUAAGAAUGCACAGUGAGAACUGAACCAGACUCCACGACAGCUCUUGGACUAGCGGCAGCAGCUAUCUGAGGAAAGAGGGCUAUUAGUCACAGUGGCCAUAAAUGCUCUGCAAAUUGGAGUGGAGUUGCUUUGAGCCAC